CCUACGGGUGGCAGCAGUGAGGAAUAUUGGUCAAUGGACGAGAGUCUGAACCAGCCAAGUAGCGUGAAGGAUGACUGCCCUAUGGGUUGUAAACUUCUUUUAUAUGGGAAUAAAAUGUUCCACGUGUGGGAUUUUGUAUGUACCAUAUGAAUAAGGAUCGGCUAACUCCGUGCCAGCAGCCGCGGUAAUACGGAGGAUCCGAGCGUUAUCCGGAUUUAUUGGGUUUAAAGGGAGCGUAGGUGGAUUGUUAAGUCAGUUGUGAAAGUUUGCGGCUCAACCGUAGAAUUGCAGUUGAAACUGGCAGUCUUGAGUACAGUAGAGGUGGGCGGAAUUCGUGGUGUAGCGGUGAAAUGCUUAGAUAUCACGAAGAACUCCGAUUGCGAAGGCAGUUCACUGGACUGCAACUGACACUGAGGCUCGAAAGUGUGGGUAUCAAACAGGAUUAGAUACCCUUGUAGUC
This 460-nucleotide ribosomal RNA is filed under the name uncultured bacterium. RNAcentral describes it as "partial 16S ribosomal RNA". It matches the Rfam family "Bacterial small subunit ribosomal RNA", at positions 338 to 795 of the family's 1533-position model. The record is from RNAcentral.